GUACUGAUGAAGAGUCCUGAUCUAGGACGAAACAGCUGUCCAGUAC
This 46-nucleotide non-coding RNA is filed under the name Trichobilharzia regenti. The record is from RNAcentral. Lineage: Eukaryota; Metazoa; Platyhelminthes; Trematoda; Strigeidida; Schistosomatidae.